ACGGGAUUGUCAUGCAGAUCUGGCUGUG
This 28-nucleotide non-coding RNA is filed under the name Homo sapiens (human). Lineage: Eukaryota; Metazoa; Chordata; Mammalia; Primates; Hominidae. The record is from RNAcentral.